CGACGNAAGNGUAACCCGNUGAAGANUCGGACCGCCCUGGGGAGUGACGGCCGNNCANGGCNUAAAAANUCANAGGGAAUUUGANUGGGGGACCCGCCNAANGCCGGCGGGNANUAAGNUGGAAUCAANUCGAAUGNCAACGCGNAAACACCCUUACCUACCCNUUGGACAUGGUCNGAGAAGGGUGGNGGGAGAUUCCAGNCUGUGCCCCGANCNGGCGAAUUCGGAACNACAAGGUGCGUGCAUGGCCUGUCGAUCAGGCUGCGUGUCGUGAGAUGUUGGGUUAAGUCCNGCNACGGGCGNCAACCCCUUGUCANUAGNUGCUACAUUUAGUUGGGCACUCUAAUGAGANUGCCCGGUGACAAACCCGGAGGAAGGUGGGGAUGACGUCCAAGUCCUCAUGGCCCUUAUGGGUAGGGCUUCACACGUAAUACAAUGGCGCGUACAGAGGGUUGCNCAAGGAGCGAUCUGGAGCCAAUCCCGCAAAGCGCGUCGUAGUCCGGAUUGGAGUCUGCAACUCGACUCCAUGAAGUCGGAAUCGCUAGUAAUCGCGGAUCAGCAUGUCGCGGUGAAUACGUUCCCGGGUCUUGUACACACCGCCCGUCACACCAUGGGAGUGGGUUUCACCAGAAGCCGGUCGCCUAACCGCCAAGGAGGGCGCCGACCACGGUGAGANUCAUGACUGGGGUGAAGUCGUAANCAAGGUACC
RNAcentral lists this ribosomal RNA (709 nucleotides) under uncultured bacterium. RNAcentral's name for it is "partial 16S ribosomal RNA". It matches the Rfam family "Bacterial small subunit ribosomal RNA", at positions 874 to 1500 of the family's 1533-position model. The record is from RNAcentral.